Molecule: ribosomal RNA, 254 nt
Filed under: uncultured bacterium
Lineage: Bacteria
Description: partial 16S ribosomal RNA
Rfam family: Bacterial small subunit ribosomal RNA
Source: RNAcentral
UACAUAGAGUGCAAGCGUUAUCCGGAAUCAUUGGGCGUAAAGCGUCUGUAGGUGGUUUAACAAGUCCAAUGUCAAAUACGAUGGCUCAACCAACGGCAGGCAUUGGAGUACUAUUAAACUAGAGUUUGGUAGAGGUAGAGGGAAUCCCUAGCGUAACAGUGAAAUGUGUAGAUUUUAGGGAGAACACCAGCGGCGAAGGCGCUCUACUGGGCCAAUACUGACACUGAGAGACGAAAGCUAAGGGAGCGAAAAGG